GGGGUUACAGCUCAGUUGGUAGAGUGCUUGUUUAGCCUGCACAAGUCCUUGGGUUCAAUCCCCAACACUACCCCCC
This 76-nucleotide transfer RNA is filed under the name Marmota monax (woodchuck). RNAcentral describes it as "tRNA.Undet". Lineage: Eukaryota; Metazoa; Chordata; Mammalia; Rodentia; Sciuridae. The record is from RNAcentral.